RNAcentral lists this ribosomal RNA (492 nucleotides) under uncultured bacterium. RNAcentral's name for it is "partial 16S ribosomal RNA". It matches the Rfam family "Bacterial small subunit ribosomal RNA", at positions 28 to 507 of the family's 1533-position model. The record is from RNAcentral.
GGUGAACGCUGGCGGUAUGCCUAACACAUGCAAGUCGAACGACCACACGGUAAGAUCUUGCUCUUACCGUUAGCGACUGGCGGACGGGUGAGAAAUACAUCGGCAUCUACUUUUUCUUGGGGGACAACGUAGGAAAACUGACACUAAUACCUCAUAUAACCUACGGCUUAAUUCAGUAGAUCUUCGCACCUUUGCUGAUUGAUUUAGCCGAUGUCGGAUUAGCUAGUUGGCGGGGUAAAGGCCCACCAAGGCGACGAUCCGUAGCUGGUCUGAGAGGAUGAUCAGCCACACUGGAACUGAGACACGGUCCAGACUCCUACGGGAGGCAGCAGUGGGGAAUCUUGGACAAUGGGCGCAAGCCUGACCCAGCAACACCGCGUGGGUGAAGAAGGCCUUCGGGUUGUAAAGCUCUGUUGUUGGGAAAGAAAAGCAGCAGAUUAAUACACCGCCGUUCUGACGGUACCCAAAGAAUAAGCACCGGCUAACUUCGUG